Danaus plexippus (monarch butterfly) is the source of this 828-nucleotide long non-coding RNA. RefSeq lists it as uncharacterized. The transcript has 3 exons. The record is from RefSeq and is a predicted model, not a curated record. NCBI's taxonomy places the organism in Eukaryota, Metazoa, Arthropoda, Insecta, Lepidoptera, Nymphalidae.
CAAUCAAACGUUAAAUUUAAAAGUAAAAUUGAAAAACAAUUUCAAUUUAGAUAUUUGAUUUGAUAUACUUUUAACACAUCUAAGACACGAAUACGCCUACUCCUGUAUUAAGAUUACAAACAAUUCAAAAUAUAAACAUGUAAGUAAUAUUUCUUUAAAAGCUGUAAAGAAUUUUUAUAUGAAAUACCCGUUAUUUUAAACCGAAACGGCGAAACAUUAGUAACGCCUAUUGUGUUUGAAAAUAUUUUAAUAAAUGUUAAAAAUCACUACUGAGAUAUCUGUGAGCUGUGACUGGCGCUUUAAUAGUCUAUUACAACAAUUGGUACCGAAAACACGCCGACAGUUCCCGAGCAAACCCGAGCGCGUGUGACGUCACAAUGUAAAUUUUUCCUCAUUGUAGCACACAGAUGAUACAAUGUUUUGACGUUUAACCGAUAAUAUCUCGUUAUUAUCGUCUAUAUAUGGAUAAAUAUAUUAAAAAUGUCGAACCUUAAAACUUAUUGUGCUUGCUUCGUGCCGUUAUGUACGAAUACUACAAAAACAACCGCCGAAAAAAUAUUGUAAAUGUUUCUCAAGAUGAUAAACGUCAUAAUCAAUGGUUCCAAGCAGUGCGACGACCUAAUCCCAAAACAACAUAACAUUUUUUUGUUGUGAAGAUCAUUUUGAUCGCUUUUAGGAACUAAUAAUACCAUUAGGAGUAAAAACAACCAGUAAAAGCAGAUCGUUUAUAUGCGGCCAAAAUGGAGUUUCGAAAACGACAGACCCUUGAAGAACUCCUGCGUUUACCACUGAUGGCUCGGACGAGUAAUCAUAUAACUACACGCAAAG